RNAcentral lists this ribosomal RNA (253 nucleotides) under uncultured bacterium. RNAcentral's name for it is "partial 16S ribosomal RNA". It matches the Rfam family "Bacterial small subunit ribosomal RNA", at positions 524 to 776 of the family's 1533-position model. The record is from RNAcentral.
UACGAAGGACCCGAGCGUUAUCCGGAUUUAUUGGGUUUAAAGGGUGCGUAGGCGGAUUUACAAGUCAGUGGUGAAAUCCCUCAGCUCAACUGAGGAACUGCCAUUGAAACUGUUUAUCUUGAGUACAUUUGAGGCGGGCGGAAUGUGUCAUGUAGAGGUGAAAUUCUUAGAUAUGACACAGAACACCAAUUGCGAAGGCAGCUCGCUAAACUGUAACUGACGCUGAGGCACGAAAGCGUGGGGAUCAAACAGG